UACGUAGGGUGCGGGCGUUAAUCGGAAUUACUGGGCGUAAAGCGUGCGCAGGCGGUUCGCCAAGUCAGGUGUGAAAUCCCCGGGCUUAACCUGGGAAUUGCGCUUGAAACUAGCGGGCUUGAGUGUGGCAGAGGGGGGUGGAAUUCCACGUGUAGCAGUGAAAUGCGUAGAGAUGUGGAGGAACACCGAUGGCGAAGGCAGCCCCCUGGGUCAACACUGACGCUCAUGCACGAAAGCGUGGGGAGCAAACAGG
RNAcentral lists this ribosomal RNA (253 nucleotides) under uncultured bacterium. RNAcentral describes it as "partial 16S ribosomal RNA". It matches the Rfam family "Bacterial small subunit ribosomal RNA", at positions 524 to 776 of the family's 1533-position model. The record is from RNAcentral.